AACGAACGCUGGCGGCAUGCCUAACACAUGCAAGUAGAACGAAGCCUUCGGGCUUAGUGGCGCACGGGUGCGUAACACGUGGGAAUCUGCCCUUCGGUUCGGAAUAACAGUUAGAAAUGACUGCUAAUACCGGAUGAUGACGUAAGUCCAAAGAUUUAUCGCCGAAGGAUGAGCCCGCGUAGGAUUAGGUAGUUGGUAGGGUAAUGGCCUACCAAGCCGACGAUCCUUAGCUGGUCUGAGAGGAUGAUCAGCCACACUGGGACUGAGACACGGCCCAGACUCCUACGGGAGGCAGCAGUGGGGAAUAUUGGACAAUGGGCGAAAGCCUGAUCCAGCAAUGCCGCGUGAGUGAUGAAGGCCUUAGGGUUGUAAAGCUCUUUUACCAGGGAUGAUAAUGACAGUACCUGGAGAAUAAGCUCCGGCUAACUCCGUGCCAGCAGCCGCGGUAAU
Molecule: ribosomal RNA, 450 nt
Filed under: uncultured bacterium
Lineage: Bacteria
Description: bacterial SSU rRNA
Rfam family: Bacterial small subunit ribosomal RNA
Source: RNAcentral